RNAcentral lists this ribosomal RNA (476 nucleotides) under uncultured organism. RNAcentral describes it as "partial 16S ribosomal RNA". It matches the Rfam family "Bacterial small subunit ribosomal RNA", at positions 333 to 800 of the family's 1533-position model. The record is from RNAcentral.
ACACUCCUGCGGGAGGCAGCAGUGGGGAAUAUUGCACAAUGGGCGCAAGCCCGAUGCAGCCAUGCCGCGUGUAUGAAGAAGGCCUUCGGGUUGUAAAGUACUUUCAGCGGGGAGGAAGGCAAUACGGUUAAUAACCGUGUUGAUUGACGUUACCCGCAGAAGAAGCACCGGCUAACUCCGUGCCAGCAGCCGCGGUAAUACGGAGGGUGCAAGCGUUAAUCGGAAUUACUGGGCGUAAAGCGCACGCAGGCGGUCUGUCAAGUCGGAUGUGAAAUCCCCGGGCUCAACCUGGGAACUGCAUUCGAAACUGGCAGGCUUGAGUCUUGUAGAGGGGGGUAGAAUUCCAGGUGUAGCGGUGAAAUGCGUAGAGAUCUGGAGGAAUACCGGUGGCGAAGGCGGCCCCCUGGACAAAGACUGACGCUCAGGUGCGAAAGCGUGGGGAGCAAACAGGAUUAGAAACCCUUGUAGUCCCAUGA